UACGGAGGGUGCGAGCGUUAAUCGGAAUUACUGGGCGUAAAGCGCACGUAGGCGGCUAUUUAAGUCGGAUGUGAAAGCCCUGGGCUCAACCCAGGAACUGCAUCCGAUACUGCGAGGCUUGAGUAUGGAAGAGGGAAGCGGAAUUCCUGGUGUAGCGGUGAAAUGCGUAGAUAUCAGGAGGAACACCUGUGGCGAAAGCGGCUUCCUGGUCCAUUACUGACGCUGAGGCACGAGAGCGUGGGGAGCAAACAGG
This 253-nucleotide ribosomal RNA is filed under the name uncultured bacterium. RNAcentral's name for it is "partial 16S ribosomal RNA". It matches the Rfam family "Bacterial small subunit ribosomal RNA", at positions 524 to 776 of the family's 1533-position model. The record is from RNAcentral.